RNAcentral lists this ribosomal RNA (308 nucleotides) under gamma proteobacterium GA-40. RNAcentral's name for it is "bacterial SSU rRNA". It matches the Rfam family "Bacterial small subunit ribosomal RNA", at positions 155 to 465 of the family's 1533-position model. The record is from RNAcentral. Lineage: Bacteria; Pseudomonadati; Pseudomonadota; Gammaproteobacteria.
GACGACUGCUAAUGCCGCAUAAUGUCUAUGGACCAGAGUGGGGGACCUUCGGGCCUCACGCCAAAAGAUUAGCCCAAGUGGGAUUAGCUAGUUGGUAAGGUAAUGGCUUACCAAGGCGACGAUCCCUAGCUGGUUUGAGAGGAUGAUCAGCCACACUGGGACUGAGACACGGCCCAGACUCCUACGGGAGGCAGCAGUGGGGAAUAUUGCACAAUGGGCGCAAGCCUGAUGCAGCCAUGCCGCGUGUGUGAAGAAGGCCUUCGGGUUGUGAAGCACUUUCAGUAAGGAGGAAAGGGUAGGUUUUAAUA